This 503-nucleotide ribosomal RNA is filed under the name uncultured bacterium. RNAcentral describes it as "partial 16S ribosomal RNA". It matches the Rfam family "Bacterial small subunit ribosomal RNA", at positions 30 to 523 of the family's 1533-position model. The record is from RNAcentral.
AUUGAACGCUGGCGGCAGGCUUAACACAUGCAAGUCGAGCGGGGUGAUGGUGCUUGCACUAUCACUUAGCGGCGGACGGGUGAGUAAUGCUUAGGAAUCUGCCUAUUAGUGGGGGACAACAUCUCGAAAGGGAUGCUAAUACCGCAUACGUCCUACGGGAGAAAGCAGGGGAUCACUUGUGACCUUGCGCUAAUAGAUGAGCCUAAGUCGGAUUAGCUAGUUGGUGGGGUAAAGGCCUACCAAGGCGACGAUCUGUAGCGGGUCUGAGAGGAUGAUCCGCCACACUGGGACUGAGACACGGUCCAGAAUCCUACGGGAGGCAGCAGGGGGGAAUAUUGGACAAUGGGGGGAGCCCUAAUCCAGCCAUGCCGCGUGUGUGAAGAAGGCCUUAUGGUUGUAAAGCACUUUAAGCGAGGAGGAGGCUCUUUUGGUUAAUACCCAAGAUGAGUGGACGUUACUCGCAGAAUAAGCACCGGCUAACUCUGUGCCAGCAGCCGCCGUAA